AAACCAACAGGGAUUGCUCUAGUAACGGCGAGUGAAGCAGCAAUAGCUCAAAUUUGAAAUCUGGCGUCUUCGACGUCCGAGUUGUAAUUUGUAGAGGAUGCUUCUGAGUAACCACCGACCUAAGUUCCUUGGAACAGGACGUCAUAGAGGGUGAGAAUCCCGUAUGCGGUCGGAAAGGUGCUCUAUACGUAGCUCCUUCGACGAGUCGAGUUGUUUGGGAAUGCAGCUCUAAAUGGGAGGUAAAUUUCUUCUAAAGCUAAAUAUUGGCCAGAGACCGAUAGCGCACAAGUAGAGUGAUCGAAAGAUGAAAAGCACUUUGGAAAGAGAGUUAAAAAGCACGUGAAAUUGUUAAAAGGGAAGGGAUUGCAACCAGACUUGCUCGCGGUGUUCCGCCGGUCUUCUGACCGGUCUACUCGCCGCGUUGCAGGCCAGCAUCGUCUGGUGCCGCUGGAUAAGACUUGAGGAAUGUAGCUCCCUCGGGAGUGUUAUAGCCUCUUGUGAUGCAGCGAGCGCCGGGCGAGGUCCGCGCUUCGGCUAGGAUGCUGGCGUAAUGGUCGUAAUCCGC
This 565-nucleotide ribosomal RNA is filed under the name Cladosporium cladosporioides. Its description in RNAcentral is "eukaryotic LSU rRNA". It matches the Rfam family "Eukaryotic large subunit ribosomal RNA", at positions 62 to 648 of the family's 3401-position model. The record is from RNAcentral. Lineage: Eukaryota; Fungi; Ascomycota; Dothideomycetes; Cladosporiales; Cladosporiaceae. RNAcentral also lists the same sequence under 6 other names.